RNAcentral lists this ribosomal RNA (397 nucleotides) under uncultured bacterium. RNAcentral describes it as "partial 16S ribosomal RNA". It matches the Rfam family "Bacterial small subunit ribosomal RNA", at positions 523 to 918 of the family's 1533-position model. The record is from RNAcentral.
AUACGUAGGGGGCGAGCGUUGUCCGGAAUGACUGGGCGUAAAGGGCGUGUAGGCGGCGGUGUAAGUCUGGAGUGAAAGUCCCGCAUUCAAUGUGGGAAUUGCUUUGGAUACUGCAGUGCUAGAGUGCGGAAGAGGUAAGUGGAAUUCCCAGUGUAGCGGUGAAAUGCGUAGAGAUUGGGAGGAACGCCAGUGGCGAAGGCGACUUACUGGGCCGUAACUGACGCUGAGGCGCGAAAGCGUGGGGAGCGAACAGGAUUAGAUACCCUGGUAGUCCACGCGGUAAACGAUGAAUGCUAGGUGUUGCGGGUAUCGACCCCUGCAGUGCCGGGGUAAACACAAUAAGCAUUCCGCCUGGGGAGUACGGCCGCAAGGUUGAAACUCAAAUGAAUUGACGGGG